GGACUGAAACUCGUCCUCAUGAAGCUGGAUUCGGUAGUAAUCGCCGUUCAGAAGACGGCGGUGAAUACGUCCCUGCUCCUUGCACACACCGCCCGUCAAAGCACCCGAGUGAGGUCCGGAUGAGGCCACCAAGCGGUGGUCGAAUCUGGGCUUCGCAAGGGGGCUUAAGUCGUAACAAGGUAGCCGUAGGGGAAUCUGCGGCUGGAUCACCUCCUAAC
RNAcentral lists this ribosomal RNA (218 nucleotides) under halophilic archaeon. RNAcentral's name for it is "partial 16S ribosomal RNA". It matches the Rfam family "Archaeal small subunit ribosomal RNA", at positions 1258 to 1478 of the family's 1478-position model. Lineage: Archaea; Methanobacteriati; Methanobacteriota; Halobacteria; Halobacteriales. The record is from RNAcentral.